Molecule: small nucleolar RNA, 144 nt
Filed under: Mus pahari (shrew mouse)
Lineage: Eukaryota; Metazoa; Chordata; Mammalia; Rodentia; Muridae
Description: predicted gene, 22210 (MGP_PahariEiJ_G0034244.1)
Rfam family: Small nucleolar RNA SNORA48
About the family: The snoRNA ACA 48 has been identified to guide pseudouridylation of the residue U3797 in the 28S rRNA subunit. Its host gene EIF4A1 (eukaryotic translation initiation factor 4A1) is shared with U67 and snoRNA mgU6-77
Source: RNAcentral
UCUCCCUGGCAAUGGACAAAGAGACACCCUGCUGGUGAUGUUGUUCUUCUAUCAGUCAGGGGCAGAGCAGAGGGCGGUCCUUUGUUCACUCUAGCUUGAUGCCUGGCUUGGUGGCCAAAGCUGGUUUAUCCCUAGGGUUCACAA